RNAcentral lists this ribosomal RNA (312 nucleotides) under Triticum aestivum (bread wheat). Its description in RNAcentral is "partial small subunit ribosomal RNA". Lineage: Eukaryota; Viridiplantae; Streptophyta; Magnoliopsida; Poales; Poaceae. The record is from RNAcentral.
AUGGGACCCAGAGACGAUGGAAAAUGCACUAUAUUAGUGAAGUUUUGGCACUCAGAUCGUGUAUUUUUUUAUAUAAUUUGUGACACAAAAGUGACUGUUCAGUGCAACUUCAUGUAUACCAUGGUGGGUAUAUUCAGCUCUUUCAUCAUUUACCUUGCUUCAAACAUGUGUCAGAAAUUCGAAGGCUGCCUACAAGCGAACUUCCAUCUUUUUCCUAAUCGGCUUGUUAUUAUAGCCGUGGAUCAACACGAGAACCACAGCGGAUUACAGGUCAUUGUUUCUCAGCAAAAAUACAAGCCAUGGAGAUCAUGA